Molecule: ribosomal RNA, 491 nt
Filed under: uncultured bacterium
Lineage: Bacteria
Description: bacterial SSU rRNA
Rfam family: Bacterial small subunit ribosomal RNA
Source: RNAcentral
UAGUCCACGCCGUAAACGAUGAUCACUCGCUGUAGGCGAUACACAGUCUGUGGCUAAGCGAAAGUUUUAAGUGAUCCACCUGGGGAGUACGAUCGCAAGAUUGAAACUCAAAGGAAUUGACGGGGGCCCGCACAAGCGGAGGAACAUGUGGUUUAAUUCGAUGAUACGCGAGGAACCUUACCUGGACUUAAAUGUAGAUUGCAUAGCUAGAGAUAGCUAUUUCUUCGGACUACUUACAAGGUGCUGCAUGGUUGUCGUCAGCUCGUGCCGUGAGGUGUCAGGUUAAGUCCUAUAACGAGCGCAACCCCUGUUGUUAGUUGCCAGCGAGUAAUGUCGGGAACUCUAGCAAGACUGCCGGUGCAAACCGUGAGGAAGGUGGGGAUGACGUCAAAUCAUCACGGCCCUUACGUCCUGGGCUACACACGUGCUACAAUGGUAGGUACAAUGAGCAGCCACUGCGUGAGCAGGAGCGAAUCUAUAAAACCUAUCAC